This 253-nucleotide ribosomal RNA is filed under the name uncultured bacterium. RNAcentral describes it as "partial 16S ribosomal RNA". It matches the Rfam family "Bacterial small subunit ribosomal RNA", at positions 524 to 776 of the family's 1533-position model. The record is from RNAcentral.
UACAGAGGUCCCAAGCGUUGUUCGGAUUCACUGGGCGUAAAGGGUGCGUAGGUGGUCGGGUAAGUCCGAUGUGAAAUCCCCGGGCUUAACCUGGGAAUUGCAUUUCAAACUGGCCGACUAGAGUACGGUAGAGGGAGGUAGAAUUUCCUGUGUAGCGGUGAAAUGCGUAGAUAUAGGAAGGAAUACCAGUGGCGAAGGCGGCCUCCUGGAUCGAUACUGACGCUGAGGCGCGAAAGCGUGGGGAGCAAACAGG